This 496-nucleotide ribosomal RNA is filed under the name uncultured bacterium. RNAcentral's name for it is "partial 16S ribosomal RNA". It matches the Rfam family "Bacterial small subunit ribosomal RNA", at positions 28 to 506 of the family's 1533-position model. The record is from RNAcentral.
GAUGAACGCUGGCGGCGUGCCUAAUACAUGCAAGUCGAGCGAACAGACGAGGAGCUUGCUCCUCUGACGUUAGCGGCGGACGGGUGAGUAACACGUGGAUAACCUACCUAUAAGACUGGGAUAACUUCGGGAAACCGGAGCUAAUACCGGAUAAUAUAUUGAACCGCAUGGUUCAAUAGUGAAAGACGGUUUUGCUGUCACUUAUAGAUGGAUCCGCGCCGCAUUAGCUAGUUGGUAAGGUAACGACUUACCAAGGCAACGAUGCGUAGCCGACCUGAGAGGGUGAUCGGCCACACUGGAACUGAGACACGGUCCAGACUCCUACGGGAGGCAGCAGUAGGGAAUCUUCCGCAAUGGGCGAAAGCCUGACGGAGCAACGCCGCGUGAGUGAUGAAGGUCUUCGGAUCGUAAAACUCUGUUAUUAGGGAAGAACAAAUGUGUAAGUAACUAUGCACGUCUUGACGGUACCGAAGCAGAAAGCCACGGCUAACUACGU